AUUGAACGCUGGCGGCAUGCUUUACACAUGCAAGUCGAACGGCAGCACGGGGGCAGCCCUGGUGGCGAGUGGCGAACGGGUGAGUAAUACAUCGGAACGUGCCCGGUCGUGGGGGAUAACGUAGCGAAAGUUACGCUAAUACCGCAUACGAUCUGAGGAUGAAAGCGGGGGACCUUCGGGCCUCGCGCGAUCGGAGCGGCCGAUGUCAGAUUAGGUAGUUGGUGGGGUAAAGGCCUACCAAGCCGACGAUCUGUAGCUGGUCUGAGAGGACGACCAGCCACACUGGGACUGAGACACGGCCCAGACUCCUACGGGAGGCAGCAGUGGGGAAUUUUGGACAAUGGGCGCAAGCCUGAUCCAGCCAUUCCGCGUGCAGGACGAAGGCCUUCGGGUUGUAAACUGCUUUUGUACGGAACGAAAAGGCUCUGGCUAAUACCUGGGGCUCAUGACGGUACCGUAAGAAUAAGCACCGGCUAACUACGUG
This 484-nucleotide ribosomal RNA is filed under the name uncultured bacterium. Its description in RNAcentral is "partial 16S ribosomal RNA". It matches the Rfam family "Bacterial small subunit ribosomal RNA", at positions 30 to 507 of the family's 1533-position model. The record is from RNAcentral.